Molecule: ribosomal RNA, 494 nt
Filed under: uncultured bacterium
Lineage: Bacteria
Description: partial 16S ribosomal RNA
Rfam family: Bacterial small subunit ribosomal RNA
Source: RNAcentral
GACGAACGCUGGCGGCGUGCUUAACACAUGCAAGUCGAACGGUGAAGCGCCUUCCUUUUUGGUGGGUGUGGAUGAGUGGCGAACGGGUAAGUAACACGUGAGUAACCUGCCCCCUUCUUCUGGAUAACCGCAUGAAAGUGUGGCUAAUACGGGAUAUUCUGGGUCUGUCGCAUGAUGGGUCUGGGAAAGAUAUUGUUUCGGUGGGGGAUGGGCUCGCGGCCUAUCAGCUUGUUGGUGGGGUGAUGGCCUACCAAGGCGGUGACGGGUAGCCGGCCUGAGAGGGUGGACGGUCACACUGGGACUGAGACACGGCCCAGACUCCUACGGGAGGCAGCAGGGGGGAAUAUUGCACAAUGGGCGCAAGCCUGAUGCAGCGACGCCGCGUGAGGGAUGGAGGCCUUCGGGUUGUGAACCUCUUUCGCCAGUGAAGCAGGCCUGCCUCGUUUGUGGGUGGGUUGACGGUAGCUGGAUAAGAAGCGCCGGCUAACUACGUG